This is a long non-coding RNA of Danio aesculapii, 1053 nucleotides long. RefSeq lists it as uncharacterized. Lineage: Eukaryota; Metazoa; Chordata; Actinopteri; Cypriniformes; Danionidae. The transcript has 3 exons. The record is from RefSeq and is a predicted model, not a curated record.
AGCCCGUUUCCUCUCCGCUUUGGUCGGCAUACAGUGAAGUGCAUACGGCGCAGCACACGGACACUCAUUUCUGCUCUUUUGGUGCUCGACACAGAUGUUCUCUUGGAAACUCUUCAGCUUUUUCGAGUUGUUGUGACAACCAGAAAGCUAAUACGACAGGCAGAGGAUGCUAAACCUGACGGCCAAAUUCCCUCUCCUCACCUCUUACGACAAAGACAAUGAACAUCUUGGCAGACCACCAAAAUCUGCUUCACCUCCGGCAGACUCUGAGCCCUGUCUCUGGGCAGAGGAUGGUCCAAGAAAAGAGGGGGGCGAAUAAAGGGACAAGAGCUGCCACCCUAAUCUCUCGGAAAGAGGCUUGUUCUGCGCGGGUUUAUCCCGUCGAGAGCCCAUGUCUGGCCUCCUGGUGGCUGAGGUGCCUUGGCCCUGAUCCCGGGUCAGUGUGGCUGGGCAGAUUUCAGUAGGUGCACUGGAGCGCAUUGGAGCAGAGCUUGAGCUGACAGUUAAAGGAAAACAAUGGGAAGCAGGGCUGCCACCAUAGAAGCCUGAUGUGUGUGUGUGUGUGUGUGUGUUUAGUGGAUUCCUUCUCAAGGUAAUGAACGCUUUCUGCCUUAGCGAAACUCACUGUUUGUGGCACUGUUAUAAAAAGUAUACAAGAGUUCUUCUGAUACAAUAUCAUUCAUAACUUCUUGAUUUAAUAGCUAAUUCGUAUCAAUUUGUACAUUUCAGUAUGAUUUGCUCAUCUCCUAAUGAAGGCUAGGUUUAGGAGUGGGGUUUAGAGGCACGUCUCCUUUUAAAUAUCCUACAUUUUCAUUCAAAUGAAAUGUCCGAAUUAACCAAUUUAUAAAUGUGUUUUCCUGUGAAUUUGAGCUGGUUCUUCAUUGGGAUCAGAGCUGAGUAGAUUACUUGUGAAUUGUAAUCCGUUACAGAUUACAAAUGACAUGACACAAUUUUAUAAUACAAUAUUAAAUGUAGCACACUGUAAAAAAAACACGGAAUUUUACUUUUUUUUCCCGGCAAAAAAAAAAAAAAAGUAAAAUAACGGUGGUUAAA